CACCGUAUAAGUUGGGGAGCUGAGAGCCUUCAGCUCAUGGUGAGCACGUCUGGCCACACGGACCCUUGAUGUCCUACAGUGAGGUAUACGUGCUAUCUUGGGCCCAGCAGCCUUCCAGGAGCUUCCCUUCCCAUGCUGUGUAUAGUUCUCUGCAGCAAAUGGAAGAGCGUUGCUUUGAGAAGCCGAGAUGCUGCGUGGUGGUCCUGUCAUUGGGACUUAAUCAAAGAGCCCACGUGACCCCUCUUCCUCACAUGGCCUUGGAUCUGCUGGCACCCAUGGCCCAAGCAGCAAGGCUGCUUUCACGGAAAACUGGACCUGCUGCAAAGCCUUCUCCUGUUGUGAGCUCUACUAAAGCUAGAAACCUUCCAGGUCACCUUAUAAUGGCUUCACGCAGUGGACCUCAGUGUGGAACAUUCUGCAAGCAAAACCUAAGAGACCUAAGAAGUGGUGUGCUGCUUGCUUACAGGUGGACUGUUCAUGAGUGUGGAUGUCUGCAAAAAUGGCGUGACUUUCCUUAGAAUCAGAGCCACACCCUAUGUCUGAUUCCUUUCUUUAACCUUUUAAAUUUGUGGAGAAAUUUUUGUGCACGGCUUUAUUUUAUUUAGAAAUCUAGAAUGAGAAAGUGUUUGUCUCCAUUCUGAGAUAUGGAUGUAUGUGGGUGGACAGGUGGAUGUUUCUUGUUUCCGAGUCACACCAUCUAGGAGGAAAUAAGAGAUGAAUUUUGUUGGAGUGCCAUUAGGCACUGGGCACAGUGCUGGCUGCCAUUCUUUCAUCUGCAAUGUGCCUGGGACCCCAUCUCCUUUGGCAGAAAUGUGGCUGUCCUCACCCUUGAAGAAUGCCAACUCAAAGCAGUGGAAGUCGCUUUGAUUCAACCUGCCUUUUAAUAGUAAGGGGUCAGGUCCUGACCUUCGGGAAACAUGGUCUUCUAGGAACUAUGUUAGAAAGUACAGCCAACUUCAGCCUGUGGUCACGUCUUAGCUUUUUCUCACAGAUGAUCCUACCCCUGAGGAUGUCCGGGGUUUUCACCACCUCAUCAUUUCUAGACGUCACCAGAUCCUCGCCCAGUUGUGGCCACUCCUGCCACACCAUCCUGUUUGCAGUCACGUCCUACUGCUGCUGUAACAAAUGACCACAAAUUUGACAGCUUAAAAAUGAGACAGGACACCUGAGUGGCACAGUCGGUUAGGUGUCCAACUCUUAUUUUCAGCUCAGGUUGUGAUCUCAAGGUUGUGAGAUCAAGUCCCAGGUCAGGCCCCACCCUCAAUGUGGAAUCUGCUUGUGACUCUCUCUCCCUCUCUGUCUUCUCCCUCUGUCCCUUCCCCCCAUGCUGUCUCUCUCUCUCUCUUUCUCAAAUAAAGAAAUAAAUAUUUAAAGAGAGAGAGAGAGAUUUUUUUCUCUUACAGUUCUGAAGGCGAGAAAUUCCAGCAUUGCCUUUAUUGGGCUAAGUCAUGUUGUUUGCAGGGGGCUGCUUCCUUCUGAAGGCUGUAGGGAAGAAUCUGUUUCCUUGCUUUUUCUAGCUUCUAACACUGUAUUUCUUGCAUUCUUGCUCCGUGGACUUUUCUUUCAUUUUCAAAGCCAGCAGCAUAGCAUGUUCAAAUCUCACUCUCUCUACUUCCAUCUUCUCAUUACUUUCUCUCUUAGAAGAAUCUUGGUCAUUGCCUUGGGCCCACUUGGAUAAUCCAGGACCAUCUUCCCAUCUCAAGAUGCCCAACUUAAUCACAUCAGCAAAAUCCCUUUUGCUAUCUACUAUAAUGGUCACAGGUUCCAGACAUCAGGUCAUGGACAUCCUAAUGUCCAUGGGAGCGGGGAGUGGGGAGCUGGAGGGCAGGGGCCAGCAUCCAGCCUACCGUACCACUAGAUGCUGGCCAGCUGCUACAUUUUCAGGUGCCCUAAAUUCAACACACUGGUUCUUCUCAAGAGGGCUUUGUACUAUCUUAACACAUACAGGAGGUGGCAUUUUUCUCUUACAGUAAUAGGGCAUGAGAGCUGGAAGUAGAACAGUCUAGCAGGAUCUAAGGUCACACAGUCUGGAUUUUGAUCCUGGUUUCUGUCCCUCAACCACUCACAAGCUAUGGGAUCCCAGGAUAGUUCCUUGACCUCUCUAAAUCUCAGUGACGUCAUCUGUAAAAUGACAUCUAUCUGCCAGAGUUGUUGUGAAGGGUAAAUGAGACAAUGCUUGUCAAGUGAUUCGUGUGGUGCCUAGCAUACAGAAAAAUAUUUGAUAAUUAUUAGUUCUUAUUGGUAUUAUUGGUCUAUCCACCUUACUUUACAGAGAAAAACCAGAGGCUUAGAAAUAUGAAGUGAUUUAUCUUUGCCUCACACUCUGGACCUCAGAAUCUACAGACAAGGAUAAAACAGUGAGGUGCAGGAGUUAUUUGGACCCCACUGAGAUCUCCCCUUCCUCUACCUGCCCAAACGCUGCCACUGUUACCUUGCUGGUGCCAUCCUCUACACCAUUCCAGAACAUUCCACACAUUCCACAUGUGGUGCCCCCAUUUUUCUUUCAAUGCUUCCCUUCUGCAGAAUGGCUAACAUUGGUUUGUCCUUCUCCUCUCCCUACAGGCCCACAAACCUGUUUCAGAAACACUUGCUGCAGUUUUGAUUAAAGUUCUAUAAAAUCUCAUUGCUACUGCCAACUGAAUUGGAGUGUCUACUUCGUAUUUUUAAAUUAACAUGUUCAAGACCAUGUGCGCCCUCACUCCUUAUCCCAGUGGCUCCUUCCUGAAUGAUGCUCAUCUCAAUGAGUGGUGACAACCUAUCUUCCACGUUGCUCAGAACCAACGCUUGAGUGACUCCUCUCUCUCAAACCUUGUGUCAGCCCUGCCAACAAGACUUAGACCGUGUAACUUCUCCCUUCAAAUCUGACUUCUUACCUCUACUGACACCAGCAGUCAGUCCUAGGUGCUGUCCUCUCACAUCUGGAGCAUCGCCAUUGAGCAAAUCUUCUUGUCCCCUUCCUUACACCACAAACCUACAACAUAAGUCAGAUUAUGUCACUUCAUGGGUCAACCCUCUUCAAUGGCUUACCACUAUUCUUAAACAAAAUCCAAAGUCUUUGUCACGCCUGCAAGGUCUUAUGUGAUUUGCAUACUUCUCUGAUCUCAUUUCCCUCCGUUUCCCCAUUACACCUCUUAAGUCACAUCAGUCUUCUCGCUGUCUUGGAAGUGCUCUAAGGGCAUUCCCACCUCAGGACCUUUGUAUGUGCUGUUUCUUUUGCCUAGAAUACCCUUUCCUUCUAGAUAGCCUCAUGAGUUGUAUCCUCUCUCCAUUCAGAUCUUUGUCAAUAUCAUGCCACACAAUGUGAAAAAACACUUUCAUAACUUUAUUUUCUUUAGAGUACUUGUUAUUAGAUGCCAUUGUAUUUUACAUUGGUGGUUUAUUGAUUUAUCAUCUGCCAUACCCACUAGAAAAGAAGCUCCAAGUUCACCAUUGUGUUUUCAGCACCUAAAACAGGAUUUGAUUUAUAGUUGACACUCGAUGCAUGCUUUUUAAUAAAAAUUUUUUUUAGAAAUGCUUCCUUGUGUUUAAGAGCAUUCUGCAUGCUUUAUAUGUAUUGAUUAUCUUAAUCUUCCUAAUAGCUUUAUAAGAUAGGUAUUAUUAUUAUCCUUCCUUUAGAGAUAAGAGACAGCUCCC
RNAcentral lists this long non-coding RNA (3633 nucleotides) under Mustela putorius furo (domestic ferret). Its description in RNAcentral is "lncRNA (ENSMPUG00000030539.1)". Lineage: Eukaryota; Metazoa; Chordata; Mammalia; Carnivora; Mustelidae. The record is from RNAcentral.